GACGGGCGUUCGCUCUAUUUUAUGGAGAGGAAAGUCCGGACACCACAGAGCGGAAUUCCGAUUGAAAGGUCGGGGAGCCUAAAGGCUUACGGAAAGUGCCACAGAAAACAGACCGCCGCGCGAGCGGCAAGGGUGAAAAGGCGGGGUAAGAGCCCACCGCGGUUCGGAGCAAUCCGGCCGGCACGGUAAACCCAAUUCGGUGCAAGACAACAUAUAGAGACGAGUUGCUCGCUCGAUGUCUCAGGGUGUGUCGCACUCCUUGCGGAGGGUUGCAAUUUAUUUGCAGCCAGAUAAAUGAACGCUAUGGCGCGUACAAACGCGUGCGCGCCGAAACAGAAUCCGGCUUACAGUUU
RNAcentral lists this RNase P RNA (353 nucleotides) under human gut metagenome. RNAcentral's name for it is "Bacterial RNase P class A". It matches the Rfam family "Bacterial RNase P class A". From Rfam's summary of the family: Ribonuclease P (RNase P) is a ubiquitous endoribonuclease, found in archaea, bacteria and eukarya as well as chloroplasts and mitochondria. The record is from RNAcentral.